This is a long non-coding RNA of Myiozetetes cayanensis, 556 nucleotides long. RefSeq lists it as uncharacterized. The record is from RefSeq and is a predicted model, not a curated record. Lineage: Eukaryota; Metazoa; Chordata; Aves; Passeriformes; Tyrannidae. The transcript is spliced from 3 exons.
AUGCCUGUGCUUUUGGGCUGUCUAGGAAUAUAUAAGGGGCAACCUUUCCAGUUGGAGUGUUCAGAGGCUGCAUUCAAACAGUGGGAUCUUUGAAGGGGAAUGGCCCUAAAUUUGGGGGAAAACACCAAUAGAACAGGAAUGGUGUCUGGCCAUGCCAUGUGAAGACACGGGCGAUGCAGGAGAAAGCCUCUGCUGAGUUGUCUCUCCUUGUGGGCUUUACUACAAGGCUGUGGCACUGGAAGAAGCUUUCUCACAUGCGGUGUGAUGCUUCAGAGGAGGUCAGAAAUUCUGCUUUGGGUAGUCUGUCAGCAUGCUGUUUUGGUCUGAGAAGAAAUUGGGAAGCACAGAGGACUGAAACAAGUGAAUGAAGAAGCACCAAUGAAACUUUCCUGGGGAAAUGUAUUUUAGAGACAAAAUAUCCUGUAAUUUUCGAAGGUCCCUCCUUUCUACUUUCCUGCUUGCUGCAUCUCAUAUCUCGCGUCUCCAGCCUCCCAGCAGGUAUGCUUAAGAUCUUCAUGUUUAUUUAGUACAAGCAAAGUGUUUUUUACUAAGUCUG